RNAcentral lists this long non-coding RNA (2952 nucleotides) under Equus asinus (donkey). Its description in RNAcentral is "lncRNA (ENSEASG00005035033.1)". Lineage: Eukaryota; Metazoa; Chordata; Mammalia; Perissodactyla; Equidae. The record is from RNAcentral.
CUAAAAUCCUCAUCACCUCCCUCGUGGUUCCUGGGGGUGUGCCUGAAGUUUGAGGGUCAGAGCAGGAAGUGAGGGGCCAGCCAGACCCGAGGAGACCAAGCUGUGUGCUUGCUGCCCUCUGACCCCUGGGGCGGAGGGCAGGGGCCUCCUUCCACGGAAGGGACUCCUGUUGGGAGGCAGUCUAGGCUUUUGCUUUCUUUCUCUGCCCUUGGGCCCACCAGCAGUAGGCUAAUGUGCUUUCUGUGUUUCCACGAGAAGGUGGCUGAAGGCAGGAUCUCCCAGACUUUGAUCAGGAAGAGUCUUUGCUGGCAGCGCAUCUAUCAAUGUCUCCAGAACAACGUUCCUCAUGGCACACUGAUCGAACGUGCAUUAUUCACAAUAGCGAAGACAUGGAAACAGCCUAAGUGUCCAUUGUCAGAUGAAUGGAUAAAGAAAAUGUGGUAUAUAUACACAAUGGAAUAUUACUCAGCCAUAAAAGAAGGAAAUUCUGCCAUUUCCAACAAUAUAGAUGGACCUUGAGGGCGUUAUGCUAAGUGAUGUUCCCGUCCUCCUUUGACAACAGUGCCUUCAAGGGCGGGCCCUCAUAUCAAACUGCCUUCUUUGCUCUCAGUAUGAACCCAGUACAAGCAACCCUAACGCUGCCUUGAGCACAAGCGUCUUGAUGGAGGUCAUCUCUGCUGAUCCCCUCCACGUCCUCCUGAACUCUCACUACUCCAUGUUCAUAUUCCCACACAGCCAGCACCCUACUGAUGCUGCCCCUGGUAAGGCCACCAGGGACCUCCUAACUGCCAAAUCUGAAGGGUUAUCUCUGGACCUGACCACGCUGGGCCUCUACUCACUGGAAGUGGCUGAUCUUUCCCACCACGUGGACCCUGCGGCCCCCACGCCCUGCAUUCCUCCUGCCGCUCUGGCUAAAAGGCUUCGGGCUUUUUUGGUGACCCUCCUUGCACACUCCACCCUUAACCUCCCUCUCUUCUCAUUCUACCAAGGCUUCUUCCACUUCUUUUUUCAAGGACACCUUUGAAAAUUUGCUGAAAGGGAUGGGAAGAGUUUCCCCAAAACAAAAUAAAACUCUGUAUUCACAGACACAUAAUAUUUUAAGUCACUUCAAGAGGCCUCUGGACAUCCUGAAGCCACAUUGGCCCUCUGCUCUCCUUUCUCAACUGGGGGAUGGCAACCACUCCCAGGCUUCAAGUGUCACCGGUGUGUUGAUGGCUCUCAAAUGUGUACCUGGAGCAGCCACCAUUCUCCAAAACUCUAAUCGUGCAUCCCCAAUUGCCCACUAGAAAUCUCUGUUCUCUCACAGCUCCUCCUGCUCCACGUGUUCAAAACCAGCCUGAGCAUCCCGCAGCCCCGUCUGACUUCUUCUCUGAGUGGAUGAUGCUGCUGUUCGGCCCGGUCACCGAGAGGAACGUGCUCUUCCUCUCCCUCCUGUUGCAGCGUCUGAGCUUCAGGCACCUCUCACCUCUUACCUGGGCUCCUGGAGGAGCUUCUGUUUGGUCUGCCCGACUCCCGCGUUGCCCCUUCAAAUCCCCCCUCCACUCCGCAGCCACCAUGACCCUCGCUGACCCCCGCUCUGCUGACGGCAGGUGCCCCCAAGUGUGUUUCCAAGAAGACGCAGUCAGUGUGCUGUAUUCAGUGUUAUAUGAACACAAAGGUUUUCAUGGUCAAUGAAGUUGGAGAAAAGAGGGAAAAUUAGUUAGGUUUAAUUACUUUCCAGAGUCUUCGACAUGCUAAAACACAUUUUGGAGCUCCAACUGGGGGGUGCUUAAUAAAACCUUUGGCAAACUUUCUAGCAACAAAGGUGUAGUUUUUUGGAAUACACUGGAUAUAGCUGUUCUACGAGCUGAAAUGUGAUUUCCUUGUCUUCUCUCAUUGCUUUUCAUCUCCAGCUGCUCUUCUUGUGUAGACAGUGGGAGGACAGCAGUGUGGUACUCUGGAUUCAAGAACAGGAAGCUCUAAAUCUCAGCACAAGACUUUGGGUCCAACUCUUUACUUCCUCAGCACACGUGCUGGCCAGGCCCCACUUGCCCCUGGCGAGGCCCAUCUCUACAGUCUGCACCAUCCAGGCCUCCCGUCCUCCGACUUCCAGCUGGGUUUGGCCAAUGGACAGCAGCGUUGGGAGACCAGUGGUGGGCAGCGGGGACGAGGGGGCAGGGUGGUCAGCACCCCCCUUGUACUGCAGUGUUUGGACCCUCUCCGGCUCCAGCUGUCUCACGUUCUGGGUAACUCUCUCCCUCCUCUUUCUCUUUUGACCCAGGGGUGAUAAUGGCUCCGAGCUGUCGCUAAUCCCUGGAGGUUUCAUCAUCUCGUGUUGUUCCUUUAGCUCUGUCCACACCUCUGUAAAUCGUCAUUCCUUAAACUCUCUUCAGUUAAACCCCUGAGUAUACCACCUGUUUCCUGCUGGAUCCCUGACAACACAGAACUUCAGUCUCCUCACAAAAUGCGGAUAGUGACCCCUCUCGCGGGGCUGUUGAGAGCAUUAGCCAAAGUUCACGAGCGUGCAGAGCUCCCAGCUCAGAGCCUGGAGUGCAGCAGGCUCACCAGAUGAGACGACGUCCCUGGGCCUGCUCCCUUCUGCCAACAGCCACACAUCUGGGAUCUUCCUGCUCCUGGCCAGUGACCCCAGCCGAAGUGGGCAAAGGGAAGCAAUGCCGGGCCCCAGUCUGAAGACACAGAGCUGCCACAGGGACCCGGGCUCCAGUCAGCGGCCACAGAACAGGGCUGACCUGCAGGUCCCAUCACAGGGCCACGGAACAGAGGGUCCUAACAAGGACCGGAGCGGCGAGGGUCGGGGUGUCCACGUGCUCUCGCUCCUCCUGGAAGAAAGCUGCCUUUGUACUGGGCCCGAUGGUCUGAGCGCCCACACUGGCCCAUUGUUCCCGAGGAGGAAGUCGUUCCAGUUCCCCCUCUACUCCUGGUCCCCCAUUAAAGUGAGCAAGGGGCCUGGAA